CUACGGGUCGCAGCAGUGGGGAAUAUUGGGCAAUGGGCGCAAGCCUGACCCAGCAACGCCGCGUGAGGGAAGAAUGUCUUCGGAUUGUAAACCUCUGUCCUUGGGGACGAAAAAAAUGACGGUACCCAAGGAGGAAGCUCCGGCUAACUACGUGCCAGCAGCCGCGGUAAUACGUAGGGAGCAAGCGUUGUCCGGAAUUAUUGGGCGUAAAGGGUGCGUAGGCGGCGCUGUAAGUCAGAUGUGAAAUCCCCGGGCUUAACUCGGGAGUUGCAUUUGAAACUACAGUGCUUGAGUAAAGAAGGGGUAAGUGGAAUUCCUAGUGUAGCGGUGGAAUGCGUAGAUAUUAGGAGGAACACCAGUGGCGAAGGCGACUUACUGGUCUUUUACUGACGCUGAGGCACGAAAGCGUGGGGAGCAAACAGGAUUAGAUACCCUAGUAGUC
This 442-nucleotide ribosomal RNA is filed under the name uncultured bacterium. RNAcentral's name for it is "partial 16S ribosomal RNA". It matches the Rfam family "Bacterial small subunit ribosomal RNA", at positions 339 to 795 of the family's 1533-position model. The record is from RNAcentral.